AAGAUUGCCAAGAUGAAGGGUCGUCACUCUGGAUAUGGUAAGAGAAAGGGUACCCGUGAAGCUAGGUUGCCAACAAAGGUACUUUGGAUGCGUAGGAUGCGUGUUCUGAGGCGUCUGUU
Molecule: non-coding RNA, 119 nt
Organism: Camelina sativa (false flax)
Lineage: Eukaryota; Viridiplantae; Streptophyta; Magnoliopsida; Brassicales; Brassicaceae
Source: RefSeq, a predicted model, not a curated record